GAGAUUCCAAAGGACUUUCUGUUUGCUGUGGUUUAAACAUCUCCUCCAAAACACAUGUUGAAACUCAGUUGCCAUUGUGGGGUGUCAAGAGGUGGGGGCCUUUGGGAGGUGGUUGGGCCAUAAGGACUCUGUCCUCAUGAAUGGAUGAUGUUUUUAUCAUGGGAGUGGGUUAGUUAUUUUGGGAUUUUGGCCCCCUUUUCAUGUCUUGUCUUGUGCCCUCUGACUCUCUCUUGCCCUUCUGCCUUCUGCCCUUUUACUGUGAGAUUACCCUUGCCAGAUGUGGCACCAUGCUCUUGAACUUCCCAGCCUCCAGCACGGUGUUCUGUAAAAAUUACAGUGUUCCAUAAAAAAUCACGGUCCACACUCCUGGAAAGGCAUUCUUUCCAAAUAUAGGCAACAGAAGGUGCACCUGGCCUCUUCUUUCCAUUCUGAAUGAGGUUAGGUGCUGGCUCCAGACUGGGAGAACAACUCAGUUGCACACAGAAGAGUUUGAGGUAAGUAAGAGUUAAUAAUAACACCAACACAAAGAUACCAUGAAGCUGAAGCUGGAGUCAGCACCCUCUUUCUGACUUAAGCUCUUUACCCCUUUGGUUCUCCCUCCAGGACAGCCUAUCCUGGAUGCCCUCUCAAAAAAGGCACUCUGAGAGUAUCAUCAUGUCACUCCUCUACUUUCUCCUUCCUCUCACCCAAGGUGGCAAGGAUCCAGGGCUAUCACAAAAAGACCCUGCUCUCCGGAAUGAUCAUAUCCCACUGUCUUUGCCCACCUCACUUCAUUCCCUGGUCCCAGAAACCUGAGAUCUUCCUGCCUGCUCCAACACAUACACACACACGCACAUGCACACACACCCCAUUCUCACUCACUCACUCUCUCCCAUUUUUAGUAUCUCACCAGGGUCAGGUUCUCUAUGCCUUGUGAUAAGUUCCUGAGAAACUAAUUCAUACUUUUGGAGAAAGAAGACUAUUAAUGGUUAAUUUCAGGGGCUUUGGAGCCAGGAAGACCUGAGUUGUAAUGCCACUUUAGAUACAAAUUUUGUAACUGGGCAAUUGCUUACCAUCUUUGGGCCUCUUUCUUCUCCUUUGAAAAUAGGGAUGUCAAUCCUCUUUCAGAGGGCCGUUGGAAUAAUUAAACGAGAUAUGUGUAUAGCCCUUAGAACAGGCCUGGUUUACAGUAAGCAAUGAAUAAAUGGAAGUGAUUAUUGAUGUUUUUGUACUAAUGAGAAGAGUUUAGAAUAAAUAUUUCCUCCCCUCACCUUCUCUCCCUCUGUCUAAUUCUGUCUUCUCUGCCUGAUAAAAUAACUUGUUUUAUGGAUACAACGCCUUGUACUUUGAUGCCCAGAAUCCCAAAGUAGGGAUUCUGUUAGUAAAAGUCCAGCCUAGUGAGCAGUUUGGUGAACUAGCAAGAGUAAAAAUUGAGCAACAAGAGGUCUAGACACUAAUUCCUGCUCUGCUGCUAACAAGCCAGGCAAUUUGGGGCAAGUCAUUAGCCCCUGAAGGCUAUAAUUUCUUCUAUAAAAAGAAUUGGGAUAAGAUGGACUUGUAGGUUCCUUCUGUUUUUUAUAUUUUAUGGUUCUAUAUGAAAAGGUUUUUCUCUGAAUGAAUUCUUUUAUUGAUACUUAAAAAACCUUGGCUGAUGUAUUUUUUCUUCUGAGACCUCUUAUUGCGUAGCUUUAUCUUGCCUCAUUUUUUUUCACACGCAAAAGGGGUAGUUGAAGGUGAACUGUGGAGUUGAUCAUUCUAGGUUUGGAUUUCAGUACCACCACUUGGCUUUUGGCCAGUUAUUUAACCUCUCUGAGGCUCAGUGUUCUCAUCUGUCUAAUGAGGAUGGACAGAGGGUAGAUGUGAAGAUGAAAGGAGGCAGAAUUCUUAGACUAACCUCAAAGGCUAUAGUUUGAUUGUCCUGUAGGACAUUAACCAGUUUUGUCUAUAACUUGGCAAACUUAUUUCAGAAUGUCUUUUCUCAUGGACUCUGAAUGCCUGAUUACUAUCUUCCUGAUUUCUUCAUUAAUUAGUGAGUCUAAUAGAAUCUUUCACAUGUGCUUCAUUCUAUUUUUUAUAUAAGAAUCCUGUUUUUAACUUUUUGAAAAUUAUUCUUUGACUGCCUUCAGACACUCUCCUCGAUAGACUGACAUAGGCGAAACUCACUAGAAAUGCUGAUUAAGUUACUGAAAAAAAGAAAAACCACUU
This 2184-nucleotide long non-coding RNA is filed under the name Homo sapiens (human). Its description in RNAcentral is "HSALNT0343549". Lineage: Eukaryota; Metazoa; Chordata; Mammalia; Primates; Hominidae. The record is from RNAcentral.